UACGUAGGUGGCAAGCGUUAUCCGGAUUUAUUGGGCGUAAAGGGAACGCAGGCGGUCUUUUAAGUCUGAUGUGAAAGCCUUCGGCUUAACCGGAGUAGUGCAUUGGAAACUGGGAGACUUGAGUGCAGAAGAGGAGAGUGGAACUCCAUGUGUAGCGGUGAAAUGCGUAGAUAUAUGGAAGAACACCAGUGGCGAAAGCGGCUCUCUGGUCUGUAACUGACGCUGAGGCUCGAAAGCGUGGGGAGCAAACAGG
This 253-nucleotide ribosomal RNA is filed under the name uncultured bacterium. RNAcentral describes it as "partial 16S ribosomal RNA". It matches the Rfam family "Bacterial small subunit ribosomal RNA", at positions 524 to 776 of the family's 1533-position model. The record is from RNAcentral.